This 497-nucleotide ribosomal RNA is filed under the name uncultured bacterium. Its description in RNAcentral is "partial 16S ribosomal RNA". It matches the Rfam family "Bacterial small subunit ribosomal RNA", at positions 28 to 507 of the family's 1533-position model. The record is from RNAcentral.
GAUGAACGCUGGCGGCGUGCCUAAUACAUGCAAGUCGAGCGAACAGACGAGGAGCUUGCUCCUCUGACGUUAGCGGCGGACGGGUGAUUAACACGUGGAUAACCUACCUAUAAGACUGGGAUAACUUCGGGAAACCGGAUCUAAUACCGGAUAAUAUAUUGAACCGCAUGGUUCAAUAGUGAAAGACGGUUUUGCUGUCACUUAUAGAUGGAUCCGCGCCGCAUUAGCUAGUUGGUAAGGUAACGGCUUACCAAGGCAACGAUGCGUAGCCGACCUGAGAGGGUGAUCGGCCACACUGGAACUGAGACACGGUCCAGACUCCUACGGGAGGCAGCAGUAGGGAAUCUUCCGCAAUGGGCGAAAGCCUGACGGAGCAACGCCGCGUGAGUGAUGAAGGUCUUCGGAUCGUAAAACUCUGUUAUUAGGGAAGAACAAAUGUGUAAGUAACUAUGCACGUCUUGACGGUACCUAAUCAGAAAGCAACGGCUAACUACGUG